CCUACGGGAGGCAGCAGUGGGGAAUAUUGCGCAAUGGGCGAAAGCCUGACGCAGCGACGCCGCGUGAGGGAUGAAGGUCUUCGGAUCGUAAACCUCUGUCAGCAGGGAAGAACGGUCACUGUGCUAAUCAGCAGUGAAUUGACGGUACCUGCAAAGGAAGCACCGGCUAACGCCGUGCCAGUAGACGCGGUAAUACGGAGGGUGCGAGCGUUAAUCGGAAUUACGGGGCGUAAAGCGCUCGUAGGCGGGAUGUCAAGGCAAGGGUGAAAUCCCCGCGCUCAACGUGGGAACUGCCUUUGAAACUGGCAAACUGGAGUGUGUGAGAGGAGAGUGGAAUUCCAGGUGUAGGAGUGAAAUCCGUAGAUAUCUGGAGGAACAUCCGUGGCGAAGGCGACUAUCUGGCACAUAACUGACGCUGUGGAGCGAAAGCGUGGGUAGCAAACAGGACUAGAUACCCCAGUAGUC
RNAcentral lists this ribosomal RNA (465 nucleotides) under uncultured bacterium. RNAcentral describes it as "partial 16S ribosomal RNA". It matches the Rfam family "Bacterial small subunit ribosomal RNA", at positions 338 to 795 of the family's 1533-position model. The record is from RNAcentral.